This 254-nucleotide ribosomal RNA is filed under the name uncultured bacterium. Its description in RNAcentral is "partial 16S ribosomal RNA". It matches the Rfam family "Bacterial small subunit ribosomal RNA", at positions 526 to 779 of the family's 1533-position model. The record is from RNAcentral.
CGUAGGUGGCAAGCGUUGUCCGGAAUUACUGGGCGUAAAGGGCGUGUAGGCGGCCUUUUAAGUCAGACGUGAAAACCUGGGGCUUAACCUGAGGAGUGCGUUUGAAACUGGAAGGCUUGAGGAUCGGAGAGGGCAGUGGAAUUCCCAGUGUAGCGGUGAAAUGCGUAGAUAUUGGGAGGAACACCAGUGGCGAAGGCGGCUGCCUGGACGACACCUGACGCUGAGGCGCGAAAGCUAGGGGAGCAAACGGGAUU